GCUCAGACGGUCACCUGGUACUGUGUCUUAAAAAUGUGAUGAGCACCACCUGUCUCCAACUCAUCUGAAAGCCUCUUUUCCCUUUCCUAAAGUUGAGUCCACUGAAACCAAUUCACUCAUCGGACAUUACUUUGAAGGUGACAUCCGGUCGACAUGCAAGGCUCCGGCUACCUAGAUCAUCAACUGCUGAGGAACCUUUUGCCCAGAAGAUGCAGUUUGAGCCUCAUCUUGCUUUGUUUACAAGGUUUAUGUCUCCCUUGUGAAGAGCUGGGCUUAUAUUUGGAUUGCUUCAUAAAAGGUCCCAUUCAGACCACCUGCACAUGUGAUUGCAAUUUCCUUAUACAUCUCUAACUUCAGCCUAGAAAAACAGUUCUUUGAGUGGUAAACCUUCACCCGCUGUCAUUGUGAGUUGCAAAUAAGCGAUAGAAGCACAAACGGGAGAAAACAGCGAGAUGCUAAUAUAGUGAUGUGGCAGUAAUUGUGCAUUAGUGAAACUGAAAAGCAGCAGUGGGAGUUAGUGCAUUUAAAGUUAAUUUCAUUUUUCUUACUUUAUGUAAAACUGCAUCCCAGUCUUGAUGUGGAUGUCUCAGUGUUGUGUGUGUACGUGAUUUGGGCAUGUGUGGUUCAGUGUGUUAAACAGAGACAUGUGUCACCAGUAAAAGCUGUGGCGCUAUCAGGAGCAGAAGGAGGAAGUGAGGCGUGAAAACACAGCUGACACCUGGCUGACCUUUACUGAACUUUUCCAAGAAGUGACACCAGCUUCACCCGUACGCAACAAAGUUUGAGCACUCUAGCCUGGAGCGCUGAACCAGUGACAUGAUGUCCUGGGAGAGGACCGAGUGCAAUGCUUUCUCUCAGACCCUUGGUAUAUCAAUAGGAUUGAUGCUGAAUUGUUUUCCUUUUUCACUUCACAGCCAUAUCGUUAUAGUUUUGCAUGGUUCAACCCUGCUACUCUUCAUCUUUGAAAACAUCUACAUGAGCUAAUAGGGAAAAAAGGAAGCAGAAUAAGAUCAAAGGGCAAGAUGAAUCAGACAUAAAGGAUAAUAUGUGUAACUGGCACUAUCAGGAUGUCAUCGGAGGUGUUUUAUUUGUUCUUCCCAGUCAAACGUUAGCGACUAGCUUUAUUCAGAUGGUCAGUUGUUGUUUUUUUAAAAUUCCACAUGACAACCGCUGACCAGAAGCAAUGUCAGCAUCUGUGUGUGAGUCAUCAGUCAUGUCGAGACAGAUUGUCUUCAAGUCUGGACUUUUACUUCCUGACAGCACAGGCCAGAGGUGUUUUUUCCCCACCAGUAACAGGUGCACUAUCCCUAUGAAUUUGUUUUUUUGUUGCGUUUCACUCUUCAGAAACUGCAUUCUUCAGUAAAAGAAGGCUAUUAUUUAGUCUGCAAAUAGAAAUGGCAGCACUCUGUUUUUCUAAAGUAUAACCCUGUUUGCCGAAUGCAAAAUGACUUCCCUCAUGAUUUCACACAAAACGCUUUUUAAAUAAGUGGAAUUAUACAGAAAUUUUAAAAGCAAGAAAUGUUGCCAUGAUUUUUUUUUUCUGGUUCAUUUUGUUUUGGGUUUUUUUUUUUCAGUAGUGACAACCUGUCAAAGAGUCUAGCAUUCCUUGUAGGACUGGAUAAUUGCCUGACAUGGGAGGGUCAUCAACUCGUGUACACUCUCACCUGGGAGCUCCCGUCUAAAAAUGCUGGCCCACAGACGCACUUUGUAUUCUAUUCUCUGUGCCUGGCAUCAGCUAUUUGCAUUUGCAACUUCAAUAACUUACUACUUAGAUUCAUUACCAGGUCUUAUAUUAG
Molecule: long non-coding RNA, 1796 nt
Organism: Haplochromis burtoni (Burton's mouthbrooder)
Lineage: Eukaryota; Metazoa; Chordata; Actinopteri; Cichliformes; Cichlidae
Exons: 3
Source: RefSeq, a predicted model, not a curated record